UACGAAGGGGGCGAGCGUUGUUCGGAAUUACUGGGCGUAAAGGGCGCGUAGGCGGCGAUCCGAGUCAGAUGUGAAAGUCCUGGGCUUAACCUGGGGACUGCAUUUGAUACUGGAUUGCUUGAAUUCGGGAGAGGAUAGCGGAAUUCCCAGUGUAGAGGUGAAAUUCGUAGAUAUUGGGAAGAACACCGGUGGCGAAGGCGGCGUCCUGGACCAACACUGACACUGAUGAGCGAAAGCCAGGGGAGCAAACGGG
Molecule: ribosomal RNA, 253 nt
Filed under: uncultured bacterium
Lineage: Bacteria
Description: partial 16S ribosomal RNA
Rfam family: Bacterial small subunit ribosomal RNA
Source: RNAcentral